UAAGAUUGCAUAAACAGUGAUAUUAAAUUAUUUAACUUUUAUGUGUGUGCAAAAUCUAGAGACGUUCUUUAAAAGUUUAAUUUUUAACUUGAGUGCCGUCACGUGGAUCAUCCCAGUAGAGCCACAUGGAGGAUCAUCUUAAAAGGAGCUUUUGAAGUUACCAGAGAAAGGAGCGCGGACUGUAGCAAAUUACCUGGGCUGAAACAUUUUUGACAUAAGUCCUAAGAUGCGAGUGAGCCACUUCUCCUGGAGGCCCCAUCGGGAGCGUUUAAUCUCGGGCCAUGAGAGGCAGCAUUGCUGACAGAGUGACAGGAUAGCUGGACACGCUUCCAGGCGGCAGUCACGGACACGACAGUCUUCGGAGCCGAGACUUAAGCACCAUGAUGAUGGCAGCAGGGGGCAGCUGAAAGGGCUUGGAGUUGGCAGAGAUGCAGCAUGGACUGACAGGCAGGCACUCGCUGGUGACAGAGCACCGGAGCUUCUGUCUCUUUGAAGUUAAGGGAGCUUUGUGGGAAAAGCCUGCUGUGGAGAAUCAAAGACAUCUAUGAUGCCAUUUCAAAUGCUCACGGACACCCCAAAACAUUUAUUUUUCAUAUGGAAAUGGAUGUAUAGCACAUGAAUAAAUUAUAGA
This is a long non-coding RNA of Megalobrama amblycephala (Wuchang bream), 631 nucleotides long. RefSeq lists it as uncharacterized. The transcript has 4 exons. Lineage: Eukaryota; Metazoa; Chordata; Actinopteri; Cypriniformes; Xenocyprididae. The record is from RefSeq and is a predicted model, not a curated record.